This 587-nucleotide long non-coding RNA is filed under the name Calidris pygmaea (Spoon-billed sandpiper). RNAcentral describes it as "lncRNA (ENSCPGG00000013823.1)". The record is from RNAcentral. Lineage: Eukaryota; Metazoa; Chordata; Aves; Charadriiformes; Scolopacidae.
AGAACAUGACGCCUGCAGCUGCCAUGAAAAGGGUGGGCAAUAGCCCUAGUAGCCCUUUCUAGUAAGUGCGUGCCUGCUAAUUUAUGUAAUCAUAACAUAAGCCCUAAUAUGUCAUCUUUCCUAUCUAGGCCAUGAAGUGGCUCAUCUUGUGAACCAGGGAAGAUGAGUUUUAAAACCAAGAUAAUCUUGUCUAGAAUUUAUGGCUUUUGGAAGUGGAACAUCUCAGGGCUACAUAAUUACAGGCAUCCUGCCCCACAGCCAUGUAAAUUUUCCUACAUAUAAAUGUUCGUUGCUGUCUUUUACAUUCCUCUGCUGACAGUGAAGAGGUCAUGCUAAAUCAAAUUGAUGCAGAAACUGGACAGUAUCUUUACCCAGGAUGUCCAAAUUAAUUCUACCAAAACAAGAGUGUCUUGGAUGCCACAUGCAAUGCGCUGCAAUGAGAAGAGGAGCCAAGCAACAGGAUUUAUGAUGUUGUUUAUCUGUUGGUGAUGUUUCGUCAGUUCUGAUUUAUGGCAGAACUGCGCCUGGGCCCAGUGAGGUAUGGUUUCCAGUCCCACAGCUUGCCAGAAUUCAUGAGGGCUUACCCG